GCGGGUUUAGCUCAGUUGGGAGAGCGUCAGACUGAAGCCAAACUUCGGGAAAGUCAAUCUGAAGGUCGUGUGUUCGAUCCACACAAACCGCA
Molecule: transfer RNA, 92 nt
Organism: Madurella mycetomatis
Lineage: Eukaryota; Fungi; Ascomycota; Sordariomycetes; Sordariales
Rfam family: tRNA
About the family: Transfer RNA (tRNA) molecules are approximately 80 nucleotides in length. Their secondary structure includes four short double-helical elements and three loops (D, anti-codon, and T loops).
Source: Rfam